UAUCAUUGCCAGGGGAGCGAUUGCUGAGACUGAAUAUCCGCCCGGAUUUCUGACCCUCAUCACCUGAACCGGAUAAUACCGGCGUAGGGAGGCACAUGUGACAGAUU
Non-coding RNA from Firmicutes bacterium CAG:24, 107 nucleotides. NCBI's taxonomy places the organism in Bacteria, Bacillati, Bacillota. The record is from Rfam.